RNAcentral lists this ribosomal RNA (1473 nucleotides) under uncultured archaeon. RNAcentral describes it as "bacterial SSU rRNA". It matches the Rfam family "Archaeal small subunit ribosomal RNA". The record is from RNAcentral.
UUCCGGUUGAUCCUGCCAGACCUUACUGCUAUCGGGAUAGGACUAAGACAUGUUAGUCGCGCGUCUCCCAGCCAUGAAAGAGACGCGGCACACGGCUCAGUAACAUGUGGCUAACCUGCCCUUAGGACAGAGACAACCCCGGGAAACUGGGGCUAAUCUCUGAUAGGUGUGGAAUUCUGGAAUGAAUCUACACCCAAAAGACGUCUGAAUCAUGCUUUAGACAUUGCCUAAGGAUGGGGCCGCAGCCGAUCAGGUUGUUGGUGAGGUAACGGCUCACCAAGCCUAUAACCGGUACAGGCCGCGGGAGCGGUAGCCCGGAGAUGGACACUGAGAUAAGGGUCCAGGCCCUACGGGGCGCAGCAGUCGCGAAAACUCCACAAUGCGCGAAAGCGCGAUGGGGCUAUCCCGAGUGCCAUCCGCUGAAGAUGGCUUUUCUCCAGUGUAAGGAGCCGGAAGAGUAAGGAGAGGGCAAGACUGGUGUCAGCCGCCGCGGUAAUACCAGCUCUCCGAGUGGGUAGGGAAUGUUUAUUGGGCCUAAAGCGUCCGUAGCUGGCUCAUCAAGUCCUCCGUUAAAUCCAGCGAUUCAAUCGUUGGGCUGCGGGGGAUACUGUUGGGCUAGGGGACGGGAGAGGCCGACGGUAUUCCCGGAGUAGGGGUGAAAUCCUAUAAUUCCGGGAGGACCACCAGUGGCGAAAGCUGUCNGCUAGAACGAGCUCGACGGUGAGNGACGAAAGCUGGGGGAGCGAACCGGAUUAGAUACCCGGGUAGUCCNAGCCGUNAACGAUGCGGGCUAGGUNGUUAGGGUGGCUACGAGCCACUCUAGUGCCGCAGCGAAGGCAUUAAGCCCGCCGCCUGGGGNAGUACGGCCGCANGGCUGAAACUNAAAGGAAUNGGCGGGGGAGCACCACAAGGCGUGAAGCGUGCGGUUUAAUUGGAGUCAACACCCGAAACCUUACCGGGGGCGACAGCAGGUUGAAGGCCAGAUUGACGAUCUUGCCAGACAAGCUGAGAGGAGGUGCAUGGCCGUCGCCAGUUCGUGCCGUGAGGUGUCCUGUUAAGUCAGGCAACGAUCGAGACCCACGUUCCCUGUUCCUACCAAAGAAAGUUUCCAAGGGGCACACUGGGAGGACAGCCGCCGAUAAGGCGGAGGAAGGAGUGGGCCACGGCAGGUCAGUAUGCCCCGAAUCCCCCGGGCCACACGCGUGCUGCAAUGGCCGGUACAAUGGGUUCCGACCUCGUGAGAGGAGGGUAAUCCCUAAAGCCGAUCGUAGUUUGGAUCGCGGGCUGCAACCCGCCCUCGUGAAACUGGAAUGCCUAGUAAUCGCGUGUCAUUAACGCGCGGUGAAUACGUCCCUGCUCCUUGCACACACCGCCCGUCGUUCCACUCGAGUGGGUCUUGGGUGAGGCGCGGUCCUUGGUGCCUGUGUCGAGCCUGCGGUUCGCGAGAGGGGAAAAGUCGUAACAACGGUAACC